UGGGGAAUAUUGGGCAAUGGGCGCAAGCCUGACCCAGCAACGCCGCGUGAAGGAAGAAGGUCUUCGGAUUGUAAACUUCUGUCAUUGGGGACGAAGGAAAUGACGGUACCCAAUGAGGAAGCCCCGGCUAACUACGUGCCAGCAGCCGCGGUAAUACGUAGGGGGCGAGCGUUGUCCGGAAUUACUGGGCGUAAAGGGUGCGUAGGCGGCGGUGCAAGUCCAUUGUGAAAAGCCCGGGCUUAACCUGGGAGGUGCAGUGGAAACUGCAUGGCUUGAGUGCAGGAGAGGAAAGUGGAAUUCCUAGUGUAGCGGUGAAAUGCGUAGAUAUUAGGAGGAACACCAGUGGCGAAGGCGGCUUUCUGGACUGUAACUGACGCUGAGGCACGAAAGCGUGGGGAGCAAACAG
RNAcentral lists this ribosomal RNA (406 nucleotides) under uncultured bacterium. RNAcentral's name for it is "bacterial SSU rRNA". It matches the Rfam family "Bacterial small subunit ribosomal RNA", at positions 355 to 775 of the family's 1533-position model. The record is from RNAcentral.